CCUGGACCUCGGCUCUGGCGCGCGGGCGGAAAGGGGGCGGAGCGGGCUGGUUCCGCGCCGGACCCCGCAGUUUCGGCCUUUGUCCUCGGCUCGGUCCCCGGCCUCUGCCCCGGGACCUUCGCCCCCAGGCCCGGCGCUGGAACUCCCUCAAAUCCCGGAUGGGACUUCGCCGGGUUGAGAGGCGCCGUGGACUGGCCUCAAAUGCGGUGGGUUUUCCCGCCGUCGGAAGAGAGGACAGAACGUUCUGGGCGCCGGGGAGGACGCUGGGGACUCUGCAGCGCUCUGAGGAGCAGGACGUGACACGGAACAAGAGCAGCAGAAGUGUGAAUCACCAGCAUGUAUUAUUUUUGUAGCCCAGGACUCCUGCUGACUGACCAGCCAGUAACUGGACCCUCCAGCUCCCCCCAGACUCAAAAGAGACCAAGGUGGCCUCAGCUUAUUUCCCCACAGUCUUGCUCACUUUCUCUUCCACCUCUUGCCUUCCAAAAUUUUGAACCAGCCUUCCAGCUGCUAGAGCCCACCUGCAUGGACCGCGGUCAUUUCUUCCUUGGGCACCCCUCCAGCUCCGCAUACUCACCACCUAGCCCCAGAGGGACCUUGCCAAAAAGCACGUGUUACCACCUCCCUCCCCUGAACUAAACCCUUCUAUGGCUCCCUAUUGCGUUUGACAAGUAAAACUGAAACCAACCACUGUGACCUAAUGGGCAACUUAUAUGGCACGUCUGUGUACAUCUUACAUGGUUGAUACUGUGUUCAGUUGCUUAGCAGAGGAAGAGAUCUGUGGAGUACAAAGGCUUUUUGCUAUCUGUAUAACGUCCAGGCAGCCUGUCUCUGUAUUAAGAAAGUUGAAUAUGUGAUUUUUUAAAUAUAUAUAUAUAUAUAUAUAUA
RNAcentral lists this long non-coding RNA (888 nucleotides) under Marmota monax (woodchuck). Lineage: Eukaryota; Metazoa; Chordata; Mammalia; Rodentia; Sciuridae. The record is from RNAcentral.